This 147-nucleotide unclassified non-coding RNA is filed under the name Fusarium oxysporum. Its description in RNAcentral is "partial internal transcribed space 1". Lineage: Eukaryota; Fungi; Ascomycota; Sordariomycetes; Hypocreales; Nectriaceae. The record is from RNAcentral.
AGGGGGGUUUAAACUCCCAAACCCCUGUGACAUACCACUUGUUGCCUCGGCGGAUCAGCCCGCUCCCGGUAAAACGGGACGGCCCGCCAGAGGACCCCUAAACUCUGUUUCUAUAUGUAACUUCUGAGUAAAACCAUAAAUAAAUCA